UGCUUGAGCAGGCACGGCCACGCGUGCAUUCCUUUUCAGCUGUGCGACAAGGCUUGUAUCGUCUUGAUCGUAUAAGUGGGUUUCCUGUGUUGCAUACCUGAUCAAUGGCAUCGUCUUGAUCAAAAGUGUCUAUUUUUCGUCUGGCAAUGCACCUGCAUUGUCGGAUGAACCACGUAGCAUCCUCUUUGAUCCAUACAGUUGACGUGCUAUCGUUGAUUGUUUGGCCCAUUGAGCGGUGACUCGGUCUCUCGGAUAUGGAAGCCAAAGUGGGCAUGGGAUCGCAAGAUCUCUUUAUUGUCCUCAUUGAGCGUUCUCACUUCUCUUACAUGACCGCCUUUCACGUAUGGCUACGUCCCAGCGUGUUUGGCUACGUCGAAGAGGAAUGUUGGGCGUUCUUGCUUUUCUUACACGACUGCCUUUCACGUAUGGCACGUCCCAGCGUGUUUGGCUAUGUCGAAGAGGAAUGCUACCUGGUUGAUCCUGCCAGUA
This 489-nucleotide unclassified non-coding RNA is filed under the name Euthamia caroliniana. RNAcentral's name for it is "partial contains external transcribed spacer and 18S ribosomal RNA". Lineage: Eukaryota; Viridiplantae; Streptophyta; Magnoliopsida; Asterales; Asteraceae. The record is from RNAcentral.